Bombina bombina (fire-bellied toad) is the source of this 3156-nucleotide long non-coding RNA. RefSeq lists it as uncharacterized. The record is from RefSeq and is a predicted model, not a curated record. Lineage: Eukaryota; Metazoa; Chordata; Amphibia; Anura; Bombinatoridae. The transcript has 2 exons.
GUGAGGCCAGUCUUGGUGUAUUAUCAUUGACAUCAGAAACAUAGAGGAGCACCGUGCCACUGCCUGUCUGAGGAGGGUCACCUGCAUUCAAAACAUUAUAAGAAACAAAUUGGUUUACCACAAAGAGAGGUGUCUUCUCCCUAUCAAUUGAGCGGUGAACGUAGACAACGCCAUUGAGAUCGUCGAUAGUGAAUAAGCCAACCUCUGGAAAUUCAUCCACGCCAGGGCCGCUGAUUAGAUAUUUAAUGCUCAUGUUGGCUGCUUGAUCAUUGAACAGCUGAAAAUGAGAGAAGAAUAAGAUCAUUUUAGUGUUUUUUUUAGGGCCAAUGACUAGUCUUUGCCCUAGAGUAUACUAUAUCAUCAGUUUAGUUCUCAAUUUAAUAAAAUGUUUUUGUUUGUUUGUCUGAUUUUUUUCAAAAUGAGUUGCAAAACAUCCUCUAAAUGUACGAGUAAGACAAAUCAAUGUAGGAGUAAGACAAAUAUUUUCGGCAUAUAAAACAGCAGCAGUUAAACAUGUUAGAAAGUUCUUUUGCAAGGAAAAGCAACAGAAAAUGCCAAAUGCAUGAAAGCUAAAAAGUUAAUUUAUUUUGCCCAGAAACCAGUGAAAAACGGAACCUGCAAAGUGUUCUCUUUCUAAAUACAAUAAUUAUAGUUUGUGCUGUAACAAAGUCUCACUACUUGUUAAGAGGAAUACUAUCACUUGGUUUGAAAGGUUUCGUUCUUACCUCUCCUGCAAUUUUUGGGAAGGGCCCAACAUCGUUCUCUUCUAAGACUAUGGUACUUAGCACCCAUCUUCUUUUUGUGCGUCGUAGUGGCCUGAGGCUCUCUGCCUGAUUGAGGCUCUGUUGAUUGAAGGCAUGGGAAAGAGAUUACUUAGGAGUUUUUCUUUAGAGGGUUCUACUACCUUGUCAACAGCCUGACAUUAUAAUUACCACAUUUUAAAACAAAAAAAAAGUCUUAAAAAAUAUUUACAGCACACAUUUGUUUAUAGCUAUGAUGUAAAUUGUCAUACAAAUGUAUCUGCUUAUUGUGGGUUUAGGAGAAAAGUUUGGCUAAUCUUUUAAAGGGACACCAAAGAUAAAAUGAAACAGUGCUGAUUCAGAGUGUACAAAUUUAAAAACGUUGUGAAAACUUUAUGUAUAGUUUUAUUACAUACACUGCAAACACAGCUGUCCUAUAGUACUUUAUAUAAAUGUAAGCUAUCUAGAUAUCCCCUCACGAAAUGGAGCUACAUUUCAACCAACAAAGGAUACCAAGAGAAAGGGAUACAUUUAAGAAAAUAAGUAAUUUGUUAAUUGUAUAGUAUUGUAUGUCUAAAUCAUGAAAGUUAGUAGUGAUACUAAAGUUUAAAAGUUCCAAACAAAGAAUUUAAAUCUGUUCAGGUCAUUUAUAUAGUAUGUUUUUUUCCCCUUAAAUUUAUGUGUGAGAAUUUAAUUGAAUAAAGAUUAUGUUUACCUUUAUCACAGCUUAACCCCUUAAAAAAAAAAUUCUUUUGGGACAUAGCAUCGAGUAUAGCCAAUAAGAAGCUGUGUCACAUGUCCUUGCAAUAAGAAUUGAAGCCUGCUCACACAUGCACAGCAGAGCUUUACUCAAUGAUAUUGCAGACAAACUACAUAUGCAAAGUUCCUCUGCCAAGACCAGGUGCACCAAUUUAAUCCUUGAUAUAGGGGUCAAUUUAUUAUUGUGCGGACGGACAUGAUACGAUGUAGCGUAUCAUGUCCACUGCACAUUGAGAAAUGCCGACAGCAUACACUGUCGGCAUUUAUCAUUGCACCGGCAGUUCGUGUGAACUGCUGGUGCAAUACCGCCCCCUGCAGAUUCAAGGCCAAUGGGCCGCUAGCAGGGGGUGUCAAUCAACCCGAUCGUAUUCGAUCGGGUUGAUUUAUGUCCCCCGCCUCAGAGCAGGCGGACAAGUUAUGGAGCAGCGGUGUUUAGACCGCAGCUUCAUAACUUCUGUUUCCGGCAAGCCUUCAGGGGGCAUCAAGCUCUGUACGGAACUUGAUAAAUUGACCCCAUAAAGUAAAAUGGCUCUAUACUUCAUUUUUUAACACAGCAAUAUUUAGAAAGGGGCAGAGGGCAGAAGUAAAGCCAGUAUAAUAAUUUGAUUUAAUCCACAGUUACAUAAUUUGUAAAUUAAAAGCACUGUAGAUUCAUGUACAGAUUUUAUUAUUUAUUGUCUCUUAACAUGAAUGUCAAUUUAAUUGUUGAAUAACAACUAAAAAAAAGCUUUGAUAAAUGCUAUACUACAGUAUAUAUAGUAGGCAUUGGAAUAUACUACUAUAACAUUCAAGCUGUGAUUAAAUGGAAUCUGUUUAUAAUCAAAGAGAAUAUUAACAGCCAAACAUGUCAGAUUCCAAUGAAUUUUAUUUACCACUGAGAACUUUGUGGUUUUUGGUUUGUGUAUAGCAUAAUAAUAGUAAUGCAAGGGUUAAAGGCACAGUUUAGCCCAAAAUUUUCUCCCCUUUAAAUUUGUUCCAAAUGAUCCAUUUUAUCUGACUGAGCAUAUUAUCUAGUUUACAAAUAGCUCAUUUACCCUUACUUCUGCAUUUGAAAUUGCUGAUUUUGCAUGUGGUAUCCCUACCUAUAUUGAAAGUUUCCUUACUUAAAGGCACAGGCUAGUCAAAAUUAGCCAAUCAUGAUUCAGAUAAGGCAUGUAAUUUAAAACAAUUCUCUAAUUUACUUUUAUCAUUAAAUUUGCUUUGUUUUCUUGGCAUUCUUUGUUGAAAGCUAAGACUAGGUAGGCUCAUAUGCUAAGUUUUAGUCCCUUAUCUCAGUGCAUUUUGACAGUUUUUCACUCACAGCUAGACAACACUAGUCCAUGUGUGCCAUAUAGACAGAUAGACAUUGUGCUCACUCCUGUGGAGUUAUUUAUGAGUCAGCACUGAUUGGCAAUAAGCAUGUCCGUCAAAAGAACUGGAAAAAAAAAUGGGGCGGUCUGCAGAGGCUAAGAUACAAGGUAAUCACAGAGGUAAAAAGUGUAUUAAUAUAACAGUGUUGAUUGUGCAAAACUGGGGAAUGAGUAAUAAAGGGAUUAUCUAUCUUUUUAAACAAUACAAAUUCUGUAGUAGACUGUCCCUUUAAGUAUAGGCUAUUAAAAAGUUAUGUAAACACUAUACAAAUUGAAACAAAAUAAAUUAUCGUUGGUUACACUUAGAA